GUGACGCAGAAGUGACACUCCCGCGUGCUGACGAAUGCACGUUAAAGGGCGUAGGCUUGGAGGUAGGCAAAUCCGCCUCCUGUACGGCUGAAACCUGACAGUACUCGGAUUCUCACGAUGAAGAGAUAGUGGAGGUAAUCAUGCUGCCAAGAAAAGCGUCGUAGUUUGUUGGAAGUGCUCGUACCCCAAACCGACACAGGUGGGUGAGGAGAGUAUCCUAAGGUGCUCGAGUAAUUCAUGGCUAAGGAACUAGGCAAAUUGGAUCCGUAACUUCGGGAGAAGGAUCCCCUGACUCUGUCAGGGCGCAGUGAAAAGGCCCAAGCGACUGUUUACCAAAAACACAUGUCUCUGCUAAGCCGCAAGGCGAUGUAUAGGGACUGACACCUGCCCGGUG
This 394-nucleotide ribosomal RNA is filed under the name Lotharella globosa. RNAcentral describes it as "partial Bacterial large subunit ribosomal RNA". It matches the Rfam family "Bacterial large subunit ribosomal RNA", at positions 1469 to 1868 of the family's 2925-position model. The record is from RNAcentral. Lineage: Eukaryota; Cercozoa; Chlorarachniophyceae.